Molecule: ribosomal RNA, 397 nt
Filed under: uncultured bacterium
Lineage: Bacteria
Description: partial 16S ribosomal RNA
Rfam family: Bacterial small subunit ribosomal RNA
Source: RNAcentral
AUACGUAGGGGGCGAGCGUUGUCCGGAAUGAUUGGGCGUAAAGGGCGCGUAGGCGGCCCGGUAAGUCUGGAGUGAAAGUCCUGUUUUUAAGAUGGGAAUUGCUUUGGAUACUGUCGGGCCUGAGUGCAGGAGAGGUAAGUGGAAUUCCCAGUGUAGCGGUGAAAUGCGUAGAGAUUGGGAGGAACACCAGUGGCGAAGGCGAAUUACUGGACUGUAACUGACGCUGAGGCGCGAAAGGGUGGGGAGCAAACAGGAUUAGAUACCCUGGUAGUCCACACUGUAAACGAUGAAUGCUAGGUGUAGGGGGUAUCGACCCCUUCUGUGCCGCAGGCAACACAAUAAGCAUUCCGCCUGGGGAGUACGGCCGCAAGGUUGAAACUCAAAUGAAUUGACGGGG